AGUGAACGCUGGCGGUAGGCCUAACACAUGCAAGUCGAACGGCAGCACAGGAGAGCUUGCUCUCUGGGUGGCGAGUGGCGGACGGGUGAGGAAUACAUCGGAAUCUACUUUUUCGGGGGGGAUAACGUAGGGAAACUUACGCUAAUACCGCAUACGACCUACGGGUGAAAGCAGGGAAUCUUCGGACCUUGCGCGACUGAAUGAGCCGAUGUCGGAUUAGCUAGUUGGCGGGGUAAAGGCCCACCAAGGCGACGAUCCGUAGCUGGUCUGAGAGGAUGAUCAGCCACACUGGAACUGAGACACGGUCCAGACUCCUACGGGAGGCAGCAGUGGGGAAUAUUGGACAAUGGGCGCAAGCCUGAUCCAGCCAUACCGCGUGGGUGAAGAAGGCCUUCGGGUUGUAAAGCCCUUUUGUUGGGAAAGAAAUCCAGCUGGCUAAUACCCGGUUGGGAUGACGGUACCCAAAGAAUAAGCACCGGCUAACUUCGUGCCAGCAGCCGCAGUAA
RNAcentral lists this ribosomal RNA (506 nucleotides) under uncultured bacterium. Its description in RNAcentral is "partial 16S ribosomal RNA". It matches the Rfam family "Bacterial small subunit ribosomal RNA", at positions 29 to 523 of the family's 1533-position model. The record is from RNAcentral.